UGGGGAAUAUUGGACAAUGGGGGCAACCCUGAUCCAGCCAUGCCGCGUGUGUGAAGAAGGCCUUUUGGUUGUAAAGCACUUUAAGCAGUGAAGAAGACUCCAUGGUUAAUACCCAUGGACGAUGACAUUAGCUGCAGAAUAAGCACCGGCUAACUCUGUGCCAGCAGCCGCGGUAAUACAGAGGGAGCAAGCGUUAAUCGGCAUUACUGGGCGUAAAGCGAGCGUAGGUGGCUUGAUAAGUCAGAUGUGAAAGCCCCGGGCUUAACCUGGGAACGGCAUCUGAUACUGUUAGGCUAGAGUAGGUGAGAGGAAGGUAGAAUUCCAGGUGUAGCGGUGAAAUGCGUAGAGAUCUGGAGGAAUACCGAUGGCGAAGGCAGCCUUCUGGCAUCAUACUGACACUGAGGUUCGAAAGCGUGGGUAGCAAACA
This 427-nucleotide ribosomal RNA is filed under the name uncultured bacterium. Its description in RNAcentral is "partial 16S ribosomal RNA". It matches the Rfam family "Bacterial small subunit ribosomal RNA", at positions 355 to 774 of the family's 1533-position model. The record is from RNAcentral.